Molecule: ribosomal RNA, 463 nt
Filed under: uncultured bacterium
Lineage: Bacteria
Description: partial 16S ribosomal RNA
Rfam family: Bacterial small subunit ribosomal RNA
Source: RNAcentral
CUACGGGCGGCUGCAGUGGGGAAUAUUGCACAAUGGGCGCAAGCCUGAUGCAGCCAUGCCGCGUGUAUGAAGAAGGCCUUCGGGUUGUAAAGUACUUUCAGCGGGGAGGAAGGGAGUAAAGUUAAUACCUUUGCUCAUUGACGUUACCCGCAGAAGAAGCACCGGCUAACUCCGUGCCAGCAGCCGCGGUAAUACGGAGGGUGCAAGCGGUAAUCGGAAUUACUGGGCGUAAAGCGCACGCAGGCGGUUGUUAAGUCAGAUGUGAAAUCCCCGGGCUCAACCUGGGAACUGCAUCUGAUACUGGCAAGCCUGGAGCGCGGAGGGGGGGGUAGAAUUCCAGGUGUAGCGGUGAAAUGCGUAAAGAUCUGGAGGAAUACCGGUGGCGAAGGCGGCCCCCUGGACGAAGACUGACCCUCAGGUGCGAAAGCGUGGGGAGCAAACAGGAUUAGAUACCCUAGUAGUC